CGUGUAAAGAAGGAUGUGUUUGCUUCUCCUUCCGCCAUGAUUGUAAGUUUCCUGAGGCCUCCCCAGCCAUGCUCAACUGCUGUUCUGAUCAUGAUCAAGCCCAAGACAGAGCGAUGGGCGUGGCUUCCCCAAAGGUGUUUAUGAAUCCAAAAUGUGAGACAGAAGACAAGAUGAAGUCACAGUCUAGUCAUUGCCUCAACACCAGUCAUUCCUACUCCCACCCAGACAACAUCAUCUCCGCUCCCAAGCCCGAAAUGCUCCCUGCCAUGCCUUCGAGGCUGAGGUCUGGGAAGAAGACUCUAAGAAGAGAGAAAAGGGCACCAGUAUGGAGACCCUAGAAUAUAAAAAGCAGACCUAGCCUGUCUAACCUGUUCCUUGACUUGGCCAUGAUCCCAGGAAUGGAGGAAGGAUCUUCCUUUUCUUCCUCCUCCUGGAGAGGCAUCAGAGCAUGGGCCCUGGCUCUGUUACUCCCUGGCUGGGGAAGUUACUUACCUAAUCCGUGUCUCAGUUUUACUUAUCUCUAAAAGGGGUAGAGUAACAGCACUCACUGGAGUGGAGUGUGGUUAUGCCUCCCAGCCUCUCCUUCAGAACUAGGUUACUUAUUCCCUCAGCUGCAAGGAGUGUUAGCUGCGGACUGCUCACAACGGAGUCUCUUCUAGGGAUUGCCCUCAACCGAAGGAAGCUGCAUUGCCCAAGAUGAGAUCCCCUCGCUGGGGCAUCCUGCAUCCAAUGACAAGUCAGUGGGGCGUACGAAGGCCUGGCUUCCUCAUCUCGAUUGGACAUCUCCAAAGGGCCAUCCCAGUUUCUGAUCUCCCCGUAGAAUCUCCUGAAGCCUCUGUUGUGACUGCAUCAGAGCCCAACCUCUCUCUCUACCCAAUCCAGUCUCCUUUCCUUCUCACAGGUGUUGUUCCCAAAACUCAGUAAACUGCCUACACGCAA
RNAcentral lists this long non-coding RNA (939 nucleotides) under Pan troglodytes (chimpanzee). Its description in RNAcentral is "lincRNA". The record is from RNAcentral. Lineage: Eukaryota; Metazoa; Chordata; Mammalia; Primates; Hominidae.